RNAcentral lists this ribosomal RNA (1226 nucleotides) under sediment metagenome. RNAcentral's name for it is "bacterial SSU rRNA". It matches the Rfam family "Bacterial small subunit ribosomal RNA", at positions 8 to 1233 of the family's 1533-position model. The record is from RNAcentral.
AGAGUUUGAUCCUGGCUCAGGAUGAACGCUAGCGGUCGGCCUAACACAUGCAAGUCGAGCGGCAGCAUUUCGGAGCAAUCUGAAGAUGGCGAGCGGCGAAUGGGUGAGUAACGCGUAGGCAACUUACCUUUAACCGGGGCAUAGCCCGGCGAAAGCUGGAUUAAAUCCCCAGACAUCUCAAUCAGGCAUCUGAUAGAGAUUAAAACUACGGUGGUUAGAGAUAGGCCUGCGUCCCAUUAGCUAGUUGGCGAGGUAAUGGCUCACCAAGGCGACGAUGGGUAGGGGGUUUGAAAGGAUGAUCCUCCACACUGGCACUGAGACACGGGCCAGACUCCUACGGGAGGCAGCAGUGAGGAAUAUUGCGCAAUGGGCGGAAGCCUGACGCAGCCAGACCGCGUGAAGGAAGACGGUCGUAAGAUUGUAAACUUCUUUUGUUUGCGAGGAAACGCGUGUACGGGUACAUGUUUGACAGUAGCAGACGAAUAAGCACCGGCUAACUCCGUGCCAGCAGCCGCGGUAAUACGGAGGGUGCAGGCGUUAUCCGGAUUUACUAGGUUUAAAGGGUCUGUAGGCGGUAUAGUAAGUCAGUGGUGAAAGCCCUGAGCUCAACUGAGGAACUGCCAUUGAUACUACUAUACUUGAGUACGGUUGAUGUUGGCGGAAUGCAUCAUGUAGCGGUGAAAUGCUUAGAUAUGAUGCAGAACACCGAUAGCGAAGGCAGCUAACAAAACCGUUACUGACGCUGAUAGACGAAAGCGUGGGGAGCGAACAGGAUUAGAUACCCUGGUAGUCCACGCCGUAAACGAUGAUCACUCGUUCUUGGCGAUACAAAGUCAGGGACUGAGCGAAAGCAUUAAGUGAUCCACCUGGGGAGUACGUCGGCAACGAUGAAACUCAAAGGAAUUGACGGGGGCCCGCACAAGCGGAGGAACAUGUGGUUUAAUUCGAUGAUACGCGAGGAACCUUACCUGGGCUUAAAUGCAGAAUGCAUUUACUCGAAAGAGUAAUUCCCUUCGGGGCUAUUUGCAAGGUGCUGCAUGGUUGUCGUCAGCUCGUGCCGUGAGGUGUCGGGUUAAGUCCCAUAACGAGCGCAACCCUUAUCGUUAGUUACCAGCUGGUAAAGCAGGGGACUCUAACGAAACUGCCAGUGUAAACUGAGAGGAAGGUGGGGAUGACGUCAAAUCAGCACGGCCCUUAUGUCCAGGGCUACACACGUGUUACAAUGG